Molecule: ribosomal RNA, 1476 nt
Filed under: metagenome
Description: bacterial SSU rRNA
Rfam family: Bacterial small subunit ribosomal RNA
Source: RNAcentral
AGAGUUUGAUCCUGGCUCAGGAUGAACGCUAGCGGCAGGCCUAAUACAUGCAAGUCGAACGGUAAAUAUUUAGCAAUAAAUAUGAGAGUGACGUACGGGUGCGUAACACGUAUGCAACCUACCCUUUACAGGCGGAUAGCUCGGGGAAACUCGAAUUAACCCGCCGUAAUAUAAUUGGAUGGCAUCAUCUGGUUAUUAAAUCUACGGAGGUAAAGGAUGGGCAUGCGUCUGAUUAGUUAGUUGGCGGGGUAACGGCCCACCAAGACAUGAUCCGUAGGGGAACUGAGAGGUUGAUCCCCCACACUGGCACUGAGAUACGGGCCAGACUCCUACGGGAGGCAGCAGUAGGGAAUAUUGGUCAAUGGAUGGAAGUCUGAACCAGCCAUGCCGCGUGCAGGAAGAAGGCCUUCUGGGUUGUAAACUGCUUUUGCCAGGGGAUAAAAUGACCUUGCGAGGUUAAUUGAAGGUACCUGGUGAAUAAGCCACGGCUAACUACGUGCCAGCAGCCGCGGUAAUACGUAGGUGGCAAGCGUUGUCCGGAUUUAUUGGGUUUAAAGGGUGCGUAGGCGGCUUAUUAAGUCAGUGGUGAAAUACACUAGCUCAACUAGAGGGGUGCCAUUGAUACUGAUGAGCUUGAGUACAGAUGAGGUAGGCGGAAUUGACGGUGUAGCGGUGAAAUGCUUAGAUAUCGUCAAGAACACCUAUAGCGAAGGCAGCUUACUAGGCAGUAACUGACGCUGAGGCACGAAAGUGUGGGGAUCAAACAGGAUUAGAUACCCUGGUAGUCCACACUGUAAACGUUGAUUACUCGCUGUGUGCGAUAUACAGUACGCGGCCAAGCGAAAGCGAUAAGUAACCCACCUGGGGAGUACGCCGGCAACGGUGAAACUCAAAGGAAUUGACGGGGGUCCGCGCAAGCGGUGGAGCAUGUGGUUUAAUUCGAUGAUACGCGAGGAACCUUACCUGGACUAGAAUGCCCUUGACCGAUCCAGAGAUGGAUUUUUCCGCAAGGACAAGGAGCAAGGUGCUGCAUGGCCGUCGUCAGCUCGUGCCGUGAGGUGUUGGGUUAAGUCCCGCAACGAGCGCAACCCCUAUUUUUAGUUGCCAACAGGUUAAGCUGGGACUCUAAAAAGACUGCCCGCGCAAGCGGAGAGGAAGGAGGGGACGACGUCAGGUCAUCAUGGCCCUUACGUCCAGGGCUACACACGUGCUACAAUGGCGUAUACAGAGUGUUGCAAACCAGCGAUGGUAAGCCAAUCACAAAAAGUACGUCUCAGUUCGGAUUGCAGGCUGCAACUCGCCUGCAUGAAGUUGGAAUCGCUAGUAAUCGCGCAUCAGCAAUGGCGCGGUGAAUACGUUCCCGGACCUUGUACACACCGCCCGUCAAGCCAUGAGAGUCGGGAGGACCUGAAGGCAGUUGCUGUAAGGCGCUGUUUAGGGUUAAACCGAUGAUUAGGGCUAAGUCGGAACAAGGUA